Molecule: long non-coding RNA, 632 nt
Organism: Dromaius novaehollandiae (emu)
Lineage: Eukaryota; Metazoa; Chordata; Aves; Casuariiformes; Dromaiidae
Exons: 4
Source: RefSeq, a predicted model, not a curated record
GGAAAAUCUGUCCCGAGUGCAGCCUCCCAGUCCCACAGCUUGUGGCUCGGCUGCUUAAGGUCUGAAUCUUCGGGGCUUGAUCUCGCUGAGAAAUGAAACGAGGCGGGAACUCUUUAAAUACGACUAACACGAAAUGCAACCAACAGCUUCACUCAGACAGGAAUGAACUUUUCGGUGAGAAUCAGACAAAGCGGAUCACCGGUACACAAUUGCUUCACUGCUGCUCUGGGGUUGUUUGGAACAAGACAGAGAAAAGAUCGAUGCGCUGAUCUCCAGUUAUGUCAGCAGAGCCACCACAGGUGCCACUGCAGAAGGGAAGGAGGGCUGGAAGAGAAGAGACCACAUGGAAAUUUUUUAUUCAUAACUGGACAGAACCAGGGGGGAGGAUCUUCUACUCUCCCCUCUCCCUGUAACUCACUGGUGGGCACAUCACAAAGUGAGUGAGCUGCUUUAUUAUUUGGAGAUAUUUCUUUCCCUGAGCAUAUGUCCUGUGAGUUGUGGACAGUUUAUGCUGACUGUUGGCUUUUAUCCUUAAGAAAAUGCAAAAUGUCCCCAGCUAGCAUGUAUCAAAUCGCAUACAUCAAAUUGUACAAUAAAACACUUGAAUUACUUUUAAGGUUUUUCACUUUGCC